UAAGACCUGCAGGAUACUAACCUACAUAUUUCGAAUGCAACUCAAAUUCUUUUAUUAAGAUAAAGUCU
RNAcentral lists this transfer RNA (68 nucleotides) under Pristimantis pirrensis. RNAcentral describes it as "tRNA-Ala". The record is from RNAcentral. Lineage: Eukaryota; Metazoa; Chordata; Amphibia; Anura; Strabomantidae.